GGUGACGUACCCAAAUGGCUAAGGGAACAGUUUGCAAAACUGUGCUGUACCGGUUCGAGUCCGGUCGUCACCUCCA
RNAcentral lists this transfer RNA (76 nucleotides) under Bdellovibrionales bacterium RIFOXYD1_FULL_53_11. Its description in RNAcentral is "tRNA-Cys". It matches the Rfam family "tRNA". Rfam says of the family: Transfer RNA (tRNA) molecules are approximately 80 nucleotides in length. Their secondary structure includes four short double-helical elements and three loops (D, anti-codon, and T loops). The record is from RNAcentral. Lineage: Bacteria; Pseudomonadati; Bdellovibrionota; Bdellovibrionia; Bdellovibrionales.